AGUACGUGUUCACCCUGAAGGAAAGACUGCCAUUUGAAAAUGCUCUGAAGAAUCAUUUUGCUACCCUCACAAGAAAGACAUCAGCACUGCAACCCAAGGAAAAGCAAACGCAGAGCAGGCGUCUGCCCAGGAGCCCUCACUGGGGGGGAUCCCCAGCAGCUAGAAACCAUUAGAGCCUCUACUCCAGCAGUCACUUUAUUAAUUGAUGUUGGUUUUCCUGUGCAUGAUGCACAGAUGGCACAAAAGUUGGGGAACAGUAAUUAUUGGAAUAAACCGACCAAAUUCAUUCUUGACUGAAUUUCAGAGCGUCCUUAUUUUUCUUGUAGCUUAUGGAAUGUAUCAAUAAUGUAUUAAUACAGCCAUCCAUAAAAUCCUGCUGUUUGCUUCCCAUAAAACAGCAGUGUAGUAAAGAGAACACUGAAGAUGUGGUGGUAUUAUUUUUAUCCGUCUCUAACAAUCUGUGCUGUAAGGAGCGUGUUCCAUCUUACUGUAAUUAUUCUAGAACAUGCACCUAUGCAUACAAUGGUGGUAUUGGUGCUACUUGCAUAUAUUACCUUAAGUGAUUAAUUAACCUUAAUUCCUUGUUUUUUGGAGUAUUGGCAAACUGCAUAAUAGCACUGGUAAUGUAGCACUUGAUCCCACUUCUGCUUAACUUAGUGUCCUCUAGUUUUUGAACAUUGCUGAAAGUGUAGAAAUACAAUUCCUAAUCAUUCACUUAGCAAGUAGACAUUUAAUUAAUAGUCUUUAUAUUUAUCAAUGUCACAAAUCGUGUAUUCCAUGUCAAAUACUCUUCUGUAUAAUAAUUUUGCAAAUUACAUGAAAAUUGUUGAAAAUUAAAAAUACAUCUGUUAAGGUGCUGCUUGAAAAUGAGCAAAAGAGAAAUCAGCUCCUCCUCCUUCAUUGGCUGAAACCUAGUUUAAUGUACUCACAUUGCUCUUUCAUUUUUAGUGGAGACAUGUCCUUCUGACAUCUUCAUGAGAAAUUGUGGAUGCAACUUCAUGGUGCCACAGGCAUUCAAGCAUUUUUACUUUAAAAACAUGACAAGUCCCCCAGUGGAAGACGAUGGCCGUGCUGUACUGAAGGCUCCCGCUGCAUUUCUAACCACAAGUGAAACUGCACAUGGGCUGGUGGCUGUUCUGCCUGCAGGUAUGUACAGAGCAGCUCUGAAAAAGCACAGCAUAUUUGCCAAGCUGAACCUGGUGACAGAGUAA
RNAcentral lists this long non-coding RNA (1211 nucleotides) under Anser cygnoides (Swan goose). RNAcentral describes it as "lncRNA (ENSACDG00005002809.1)". Lineage: Eukaryota; Metazoa; Chordata; Aves; Anseriformes; Anatidae. The record is from RNAcentral.